This 444-nucleotide ribosomal RNA is filed under the name uncultured bacterium. RNAcentral's name for it is "bacterial SSU rRNA". It matches the Rfam family "Bacterial small subunit ribosomal RNA", at positions 333 to 794 of the family's 1533-position model. The record is from RNAcentral.
AGACUCCUACGGGAGGCAGCAGUGGGGAAUAUUGCACAAUGGGGGGAACCCUGAUGCAGCGACGCCGCGUGAGCGAAGAAGUACCUCGGUAUGUAAAGCUCUAUCAGCAGGGAAGAAAAUGACGGUACCUGACUAAGAAGCCCCGGCUAACUACGUGCCAGCAGCCGCGGUAAUACGUAGGGGGCAAGCGUUAUCCGGAUUUACUGGGUGUAAAGGGAGCGUAGACGGCAGUGCAAGUCUGAAGUGAAAGGCGGGGGCUCAACCCCCGGACUGCUCUGGAAACUGUACGGCUGGAGUGCAGGAGAGGUAAGUGGAAUUCCUAGUGUAGCGGUGAAAUGCGUAGAUAUUAGGAGGAACAUCGGUGGCGAAAGCGCUUUACUGGACCAUUAUUGACGCUGAGGAACGAAAGCCAGGGGAGCAAAUGGGAUUAGAUACCCGAGUAGA